This 2117-nucleotide ribosomal RNA is filed under the name Micromonospora sp. CNB394. RNAcentral's name for it is "bacterial LSU rRNA". It matches the Rfam family "Bacterial large subunit ribosomal RNA", at positions 835 to 2812 of the family's 2925-position model. Lineage: Bacteria; Bacillati; Actinomycetota; Actinomycetes; Micromonosporales; Micromonosporaceae. The record is from RNAcentral.
AAACUCCGUGAUAGCUGGUUCUCCCCGAAAUGCAUUUAGGUGCAGCGUCGCGUGUUUCUUGCCGGAGGUAGAGCACUGGAUGGUCUAGGGGGCCCACAAGCUUACCGAAAUCAGCCAAACUCCGAAUGCCGGUAAGUGAGAGCGCGGCAGUGAGACUGCGGGGGAUAAGCUUCGUAGUCGAGAGGGAAACAGCCCAGAUCACCAGCUAAGGCCCCUAAGCGUGUGCUAAGUGGAAAAGGAUGUGGGGUCGCAUAGACAACCAGGAGGUUGGCUUAGAAGCAGCCACCCUUUAAAGAGUGCGUAAUAGCUCACUGGUCAAGUGGUUCCGCGCCGACAAUGUAGCGGGGCUCAAGCACACCGCCGAAGCUGUGGCAUUCACACUUUAACUUCGUGUCUCCUUGAUGGGGCAUGCAGGUGUGUGGGUGGGUAGGGGAGCGUCGUGCCGGGGGUGAAGCAGCGGGGUGACCCAGUUGUGGACGCGGCACGAGUGAGAAUGCAGGCAUGAGUAGCGAAAGAAGGGUGAGAAACCCUUCCGCCGGAUGACCAAGGGUUCCAGGGCCAGGCUAAUCCGCCCUGGGUGAGUCGGGACCUAAGGCGAGGCCGAGAGGCGUAGUCGAUGGACAACGGGUUGAUAUUCCCGUACCCGCGAAAGAGCGUCCCUGAUGAACCUCGUUGUGCUAACCACCCAAACUGGCUGAGACUUUCGGGUUGAGGUUGGGGAGCGUGGGAACCUGGCGGGUAGUAGUCAAGCGAUGGGGUGACGCAGGAAGGUAGCUGAUCCCGGCCGGUGGUUGUGCCGGGGUAAGCGUGUAGGCCGGCGUGUAGGCAAAUCCGCACGCCACUAGGGCUGAGACGUGAUGCCGAGCCGAUUCAGGUGAAGUCAGUGAUCCUAUGCUGCCGAGAAAAGCCUCUAGCGAGUUCUGAGCGGCCCGUACCCCAAACCGACACAGGUGGUCAGGUAGAGAAUACCGAGGCGAUCGGGCGAACUGUGGUUAAGGAACUCGGCAAAUUGCCCCCGUAACUUAGGGAGAAGGGGGGCCGGAGACGUGAAGCCCCGCGCGGGUGGAGCGUUGUAUGGCCGCAGAGAGCAGGGGGAAGCGACUGUUUACUAAAAACACAGGUCCAUGCGAAGAAGUAAUUCGAUGUAUAUGGACUGACGCCUGCCCGGUGCUGGAACGUUAAGGGGACCUGUUAGCUCUUCGGGGCGAAGCGGAGAACUUAAGCGCCAGUAAACGGCGGUGGUAACUAUAACCAUCCUAAGGUAGCGAAAUUCCUUGUCGGGUAAGUUCCGACCUGCACGAAUGGCGUAACGACUUCCCCACUGUCUCAACCACAGGCCCGGCGAAAUUGCAGUACGAGUAAAGAUGCUCGUUACGCGCGGCAGGACGGAAAGACCCCGGGACCUUUACUAUAGCUUGACAUUGGUAUCUGAAUUAGCUUGUGUAGGAUAGGUGGGAGCCGGUGAAGUCCAUACGCCAGUAUGGGUGGAGGCAAUCUUGAAAUACCACUCUGGUUGAUUUGGGUAUCUAACUUCGGACCGUUAUCCGGUUCAGGGACAGUGUCUGGUGGGUAGUUUAACUGGGGCGGUUGCCUCCUAAAGGGUAACGGAGGCGCCCAAAGGUUCCCUCAGCCUGGUUGGCAAUCAGGUGUUGAGUGCAAGUGCACAAGGGAGCUUGACUGUGAGACUGACAGGUCGAGCAGGGACGAAAGUCGGGACUAGUGAUCCGGCACUGGCAUGUGGAAGCGGUGUCGCUCAACGGAUAAAAGGUACCCCGGGGAUAACAGGCUGAUCUUCCCCAAGAGUCCAUAUCGACGGGAUGGUUUGGCACCUCGAUGUCGGCUCGUCGCAUCCUGGGGCUGUAGCAGGUCCCAAGGGUUGGGCUGUUCGCCCAUUAAAGCGGUACGCGAGCUGGGUUUAGAACGUCGUGAGACAGUUCGGUCCCUAUCCGCCGUGCGCGUAGGAUACUUGAGAAGGGCUGUCCCUAGUACGAGAGGACCGGGACGGACGAACCUCUGGUGUGCCAGUUGUCCCGCCAGGGGCACGGCUGGUUAGCUACGUUCGGAAGGGAUAACCGCUGAAAGCAUCUAAGCGGGAAGCUCGCUUCAAGAUGAGGUAU